This 527-nucleotide ribosomal RNA is filed under the name Staphylococcus sp. Its description in RNAcentral is "partial 16S ribosomal RNA". It matches the Rfam family "Bacterial small subunit ribosomal RNA", at positions 1 to 500 of the family's 1533-position model. The record is from RNAcentral. Lineage: Bacteria; Bacillati; Bacillota; Bacilli; Caryophanales; Staphylococcaceae.
UUACAAUUUCACACAGGAGAGUUUGAUCAUGGCUCAGGAUGAACGCUGGCGGCGUGCCUAAUACAUGCAAGUCGAGCGAACAGAUAAGGAGCUUGCUCCUUUGACGUUAGCGGCGGACGGGUGAGUAACACGUGGGUAACCUACCUAUAAGACUGGAAUAACUCCGGGAAACCGGGGCUAAUGCCGGAUAACAUGUUGAACCGCAUGGUUCUACAGUGAAAGACGGUCUUGCUGUCACUUAUAGAUGGACCCGCGCCGUAUUAGCUAGUUGGUGGGGUAACGGCCUACCAAGGCGACGAUACGUAGCCGACCUGAGAGGGUGAUCGGCCACACUGGAACUGAGACACGGUCCAGACUCCUACGGGAGGCAGCAGUAGGGAAUCUUCCGCAAUGGGCGAAAGCCUGACGGAGCAACGCCGCGUGAGUGAUGAAGGUCUUCGGAUCGUAAAGCUCUGUUGUUAGGGAAGAACAAAUGUGUAAGUAACUGUGCACAUCUUGACGGUACCUAACCAGAAAGCCACGGCUAA